RNAcentral lists this ribosomal RNA (837 nucleotides) under uncultured bacterium. Its description in RNAcentral is "bacterial SSU rRNA". It matches the Rfam family "Bacterial small subunit ribosomal RNA", at positions 219 to 1064 of the family's 1533-position model. The record is from RNAcentral.
AGUUUGAUCCUGGCUCAGGAUGAACGCUAGCGGCAACGGCUCACCAAGGCGACGAUGACUAGGGGAUCUGAGAGGAUGACCCCCCACACUGGUACUGAGACACGGACCAGACUCCUACGGGAGGCAGCAGUAAGGAAUAUUGGUCAAUGGAGGCAACUCUGAACCAGCCAUGCCGCGUGCAGGAAGACUGCCUUAUGGGUUGUAAACUGCUUUUAUACGGGAAUAAACCUUGAUUCGUGAAUCGAGCUGAAUGUACCGUAAGAAUAAGGAUCGGCUAACUCCGUGCCAGCAGCCGCGGUAAUACGGAGGAUCCAAGCGUUAUCCGGAUUUAUUGGGUUUAAAGGGAGCGUAGGCGGCCUAUUAAGUCAGGGGUGAAAGACGGUGGCUCAACCAUCGCAGUGCCUUUGAUACUGGUAGGCUUGAAUGUAGUUGAGGUAGGCGGAAUGUGACAAGUAGCAGUGAAAUGCAUAGAUAUGUCACAGAACACCGAUUGCGAAGGCAGCUUACUAAGCUAUGAUUGACGCUGAGGCUCGAAAGCGUGGGGAUCAAACAGGAUUAGAUACCCUGGUAGUCCACGCCCUAAACGAUGAUAACUCGAUGUUGGCGAUAUACAGUCAGCGUCCAAGCGAAAGCGUUAAGUUAUCCACCUGGGGAGUACGCCCGCAAGGGUGAAACUCAAAGGAAUUGACGGGGGCCCGCACAAGCGGAGGAGCAUGUGGUUUAAUUCGAUGAUACGCGAGGAACCUUACCCGGGCUUGAAAGUUACUGAAGAAUUUAGAGAUAGAUUCGUCCUUCGGGACAGGAAACUAGGUGCUGCAUGGCUGUCGUCAGCUCGUG